Sceloporus undulatus (fence lizard) is the source of this 157-nucleotide small nuclear RNA. RefSeq annotates it as U1 spliceosomal RNA. Lineage: Eukaryota; Metazoa; Chordata; Lepidosauria; Squamata; Phrynosomatidae. The transcript has a single exon. The record is from RefSeq and is a predicted model, not a curated record.
GUGCUUACCUGACAGGGGAAACAUCAUGAUCACAAAGGUAGCUAUUCCAGGGUGAGGCUCAUCCAUUGCACUCCUGGUGUGCUGACCCGUGAUUUCCCGAAAUGCGGGAAACUCAACUGCAUCAUUUGUGGUAGUGGGGGACUACGUUCGUGCAAUG